This is a long non-coding RNA of Zophobas morio, 409 nucleotides long. RefSeq lists it as uncharacterized. The record is from RefSeq and is a predicted model, not a curated record. The transcript is spliced from 2 exons. Lineage: Eukaryota; Metazoa; Arthropoda; Insecta; Coleoptera; Tenebrionidae.
UCCCGCAUUCUUUGCAUGUUUUUGCAAUCUAAAUUAUGUAAUUUACUCAAUUUGUGGCCACUGAAAAUACCACUUGCGUGAGCUAAAUUUAGGCUGCGGAUAAUUAAUUCCGCUGCGGGAUAUACAGGGUGGCUUGACAAAGCGGAAGCUCGCGGCCUACUUGAUCCUGAUUGUCUCGGCGUGGCAGACAUUACACUAGGGACAAAAAGAAAGCAUCUACGAAAGAAUCAAAUAUUUAUUAAUAAAAUAACCAUUUAUCAACAACAAAUUACGCGAAAAUAUGAACUUUAUAAAUUAAAUUUAUUAUACAUACUUGAGGAACAAAAAUUCACUGUAAAAACUUAAGUCUGAGUCGGCGGCGCGGUCGGAGGCAACGGCUCAUGGUCCGGAAAAUAAAACCCAAAAAGGA